CUCGCCGGAAGACCAAGGGUUCCUGUCCAACGUUAAUCGGGGCAGGGUGAGUCGACCCCUAAGGCGAGGCCGAAAGGCGUAGUCGAUGGGAAACAGGUUAAUAUUCCUGUACUUGGUGUUACUGCGAAGGGGGGACGGAGAAGGCUAUGUUGGCCGGGCGACGGUUGUCCCGGUUUAAGCGUGUAGGCUGGUUUUCCAGGCAAAUCCGGAAAAUCAAGGCUGAGGCGUGAUGACGAGGCACUACGGUGCUGAAGCAACAAAUGCCCUGCUUCCAGGAAAAGCCUCUAAGCAUCAGGUAACAUCAAAUCGUACCCCAAACCGACACAGGUGGUCAGGUAGAGAAUACCAAGGCGCUUGAGAGAACUCGGGUGAAGGAACUAGGCAAAAUGGUGCCGUAACUUCGGGAGAAGGCACGCUGAUAUGUAGGUGAAGUCCCUCGCGGAUGGAGCUGAAAUCAGUCGAAGAUACCAGCUGGCUGCAACUGUUUAUUAAAAACACAGCACUGUGCAAACACGAAAGUGGACGUAUACGGUGUGACGCCUGCCCGGUGCCGGAAGGUUAAUUGAUGGGGUCAGCGCAAGCGAAGCUCUUGAUCGAAGCCCCGGUAAACGGCGGCCGUAACUAUAACGGUCCUAAGGUAGCGAAAUUCCUUGUCGGGUAAGUUCCGACCUGCACGAAUGGCGUAAUGAUGGCCAGGCUGUCUCCACCCGAGACUCAGUGAAAUUGAACUCGCUGUGAAGAUGCAGUGUACCCGCGGCAAGACGGAAAGACCCCGUGAACCUUUACUAUAGCUUGACACUGAACAUUGAGCCUUGAUGUGUAGGAUAGGUGGGAGGCUUAGAAGUGUGGACGCCAGUCUGCAUGGAGCCGACCUUGAAAUACCACCCUUUAAUGUUUGAUGUUCUAACGUUGACCCGUAAUCCGGGUUGCGGACAGUGUCUGGUGGGUAGUUUGACUGGGGCGGUCUCCUCCUAAAGAGUAACGGAGGAGCACGAAGGUUGGCUAAUCCUGGUCGGACAUCAGGAGGUUAGUGCAAUGGCAUAAGCCAGCUUGACUGCGAGCGUGACGGCGCGAGCAGGUGCGAAAGCAGGUCAUAGUGAUCCGGUGGUUCUGAAUGGAAGGGCCAUCGCUCAACGGAUAAAAGGUACUCCGGGGAUAACAGGCUGAUACCGCCCAAGAGUUCAUAUCGACGGCGGUGUUUGGCACCUCGAUGUCGGCUCAUCACAUCCUGGGGCUGAAGUAGGUCCCAAGGGUAUGGCUGUUCGCCAUUUAAAGUGGUACGCGAGCUGGGUUUAGAACGUCGUGAGACAGUUCGGUCCCUAUCUGCCGUGGGCGCUGGAGAACUGAGGGGGGCUGCUCCUAGUACGAGAGGACCGGAGUGGACGCAUCACUGGUGUUCGGGUUGUCAUGCCAAUGGCACUGCCCGGUAGCUAAAUGCGGAAGAGAUAAGUGCUGAAAGCAUCUAAGCACGAAACUUGCCCCGAGAUGAGUUCUCCCUGACUCCUUGAGAGUCCUGAAGGAACGUUGAAGACGACGACGUUGAUAGGCCGGGUGUGUAAGCGCAGCGAUGCGUUGAGCUAACCGGUACUAAUGAACCGUGAGGCUUAACCU
RNAcentral lists this ribosomal RNA (1611 nucleotides) under Escherichia coli 1-182-04_S1_C3. Its description in RNAcentral is "bacterial LSU rRNA". It matches the Rfam family "Bacterial large subunit ribosomal RNA", at positions 1333 to 2925 of the family's 2925-position model. Lineage: Bacteria; Pseudomonadati; Pseudomonadota; Gammaproteobacteria; Enterobacterales; Enterobacteriaceae. The record is from RNAcentral.